This 458-nucleotide ribosomal RNA is filed under the name uncultured bacterium. Its description in RNAcentral is "partial 16S ribosomal RNA". It matches the Rfam family "Bacterial small subunit ribosomal RNA", at positions 338 to 795 of the family's 1533-position model. The record is from RNAcentral.
CCUACGGGUGGCAGCAGUGAGGAAUAUUGGUCAAUGGGCGAGAGCCUGAACCAGCCACGUCGCGUGAGGGAGUACUGCCCUAUGGGUUGUAAACCUCUUUUGUCGGGGAGCACAAGCCGGACGUGUCCGGCUGUGAGAGUACCCGAAGAAAAAGCAUCGGCUAACUCCGUGCCAGCAGCCGCGGUAACACGGAGGAUGCGAGCGUUAUCCGGAUUUAUUGGGUUUAAAGGGUGCGCAGGCGGAUUUUUAAGUCAGCGGUAAAAUCGUGGGGCUCAACCCCAUCCAGCCGUUGAAACUGGGGAUCUAGAGUGUGCGAGAGGUAUGCGGAAUGCGUGGUGUAGCGGUGAAAUGCAUAGAUAUCACGCAGAACCCCGAUGGCGAAGGCAGCAUACCGGUGCACAACUGACGCUCAGGCACGAAAGCGUGGGUAUCGAACAGGAUUAGAUACCCUAGUAGUC